This 864-nucleotide ribosomal RNA is filed under the name uncultured archaeon. RNAcentral describes it as "SSU rRNA". It matches the Rfam family "Archaeal small subunit ribosomal RNA", at positions 474 to 1337 of the family's 1478-position model. The record is from RNAcentral.
AACCAGCACCUCAAGUGGUCAGGAUGAUUAUUGGGCCUAAAGCAUCCGUAGCCGGCUCCGUAAGUUUUCGGUUAAAUCUGUACGCUUAACGUACAGGCUGCCGGGAAUACUGCAGAGCUAGGUAGUGGGAGAGGUAGACGGUACUCGGUAGGAAGGGGUAAAAUCCUUUGAUCUAUUGAUGACCACCUGUGGCGAAGGCGGUCUACCAGAACACGUACGACGGUGAGGGAUGAAAGCUGGGGGAGCAAACCGGAUUAGAUACCCGGGUAGUCCCAGCUGUAAACUAUGCAAACUCAGUGAUGCAUUGGCUUGUGGCCAAUGCAGUGCUGCAGGGAAGCCGUUAAGUUUGCCGCCUGGGAAGUACGUACGCAAGUAUGAAACUUAAAGGAAUUGGCGGGGGAGCACCACAAGGGGUGAAGCCUGCGGUUCAAUUGGAGUCAACGCCAGAAAUCUUACCCGGAGAGACAGCAGAAUGAAGGUCAAGCUGAAGACUUUACCAGACAAGCUGAGAGGUGGUGCAUGGCCGUCGCCAGCUCGUGCCGUGAGAUGUCCUGUUAAGUCAGGUAACGAGCGAGAUCCCUGCCUCUAGUUGCCACCAUUACUCUCAGGAGUAGUGGGGCGAAUUAGCGGGACCGCCGCAGUUAAUGCGGAGGAAGGAAGGGGCCACGGCAGGUCAGUAUGCCCCGAAACUCUGGGGCCACACGCGGGCUGCAAUGGUAACGACAAUGGGUUUCGAAUUCGAAAGGAUGAGGUAAUCCUCAAACGUUACCACAGUUAUGACUGAGGGCUGCAACACGCCCUCACGAAUAUGGAAUCCCUAGUAACUGCGUGUCACUAUCGCGCGGUGAAUACGUCCCUGCUCCU